GUGCCAGCAGCCGCGGUAAUACGGAGGGUGCGAGCGUUAAUCGGAAUUACUGGGCGUAAAGCGCACGUAGGCGGUAUGUUAAGCAAGAUGUGAAAGCCCAGAGCUCAACUCUGGAAUAGCAUUUUGAACUGGCAUGCUAGAGUUUUGGAGAGGGUGGUAGAAUUUCCAGUGUAGCGGUGAAAUGCGUAGAUAUUGGAAGGAAUACCAGUGGCGAAGGCGGCCACCUGGCCAAAAACUGACGCUGAGGAGCGAAAGCGUGGGUAGCGAACAGGAUUAGAUACCCUGGUAGUCC
This 292-nucleotide ribosomal RNA is filed under the name uncultured microorganism. RNAcentral's name for it is "partial 16S ribosomal RNA". It matches the Rfam family "Bacterial small subunit ribosomal RNA", at positions 505 to 796 of the family's 1533-position model. The record is from RNAcentral.